Neofelis nebulosa (Clouded leopard) is the source of this 1263-nucleotide long non-coding RNA. RefSeq lists it as uncharacterized. The transcript is spliced from 5 exons. The record is from RefSeq and is a predicted model, not a curated record. NCBI's taxonomy places the organism in Eukaryota, Metazoa, Chordata, Mammalia, Carnivora, Felidae.
UAUACGUAUAUGUUCUAUAUUUGCCCUUAAACGCUACAUUAUACAUUGACUCGCUGAUGACACCAUCAGGGCUCAGGUCGAGGCAUUUUCAAUCCGCUCCAAAUCUCUCCCCCUUCUAGGAUGCUUCCAAGACCCCAUCAAGCGGGCACAGGCAGGGAGAGACGUUGCUAGGGAAAAGGGAUCAUUGCCAAGUUCUGGCCCACAGCAGCAUAUGCUUCACGGUGACAAUGUAAUCCCCAUGCGCCAAGCCAAGAGAUCUUGUGUGGUGACCUGGGUGUUUCUCCACGGCUCUUUGUGAGACAACAGCCAUCAAGGAUCUACAGCUGGAUGUAAGAAAUCUCGUGAGUGGUUAGUGGCCAUGCUGUCUGCCACCUAAAUAAGGUCAGCCUGUGGCACGAAAGAAGAAUUCUGCUGACACGCCGAGAGAAACCAAGGCAAGAGCUACUGAAAGAGACUUACUGGCUGUCACAGGCAUGGCUCCUGAGUUCCUUAAGCUCAGCUGCUCUUUUACCCUCCUUGGGGUUUACUUGGUCUAGUUUCCAGAUCUAAGAAAUCAGGAGAACACCACCAUCUUUCAAGGCUUGGAGUCUUUGACAUGUUGGAAGUUCCAGAUUUCUGUAACACCGUGGGAUCAAAGCCUUGAAGCUCUUCUGCGUACGUCACCAUCAUGAGCCAAGGAGAGACCUUCGAAAAAGACAACAGAUAGCUCCCUUUCACACACACCAUGUUAGCACAGUACUUGGUGUCCACACGCCAUGAUCAUAAGGCCAGAAUCAUCUCGAAGAUUGACGAUGGCAAAUUCUUUGACACACUGCCCAUCCAGAGGCGAAGUCUACGUCCCAUCCCCUUGAAUCUGAGUGGGCUCUAUUUCCACUCUGAUAGAAUAUGGCAGAAGUGACACUGUGCCGGUUCCCAAAGCCAGGCCUUAUGAAGCUGGCAGUUCCCAUCCUCUGUCAUUUGGAACACUGUCUCUGGGAGCAUCGGACUUCAAACCCUCAGGCCACCAUGCUGAUGCAGCCCGAUGUAGGUGCUCCAGCUCAGAGUUCCACCUGAGCCCAGCCUUCGAGGCAUCUCUCCAGCCAAGGCCCCGUACGUUGGGUGAAACCAUCUUCUACCCUCCAGGUCAACUCAUCGCUGGUUGAAUCCCACAAGUGACCUUACUCCACACGAUGCCAUAUGGAGCAGAAGAAUCACUCAGCUGAGCCCUGCCCGAGUUCCUAACCCACAAAAUUAUAAAUUAUAACAAAAUGGUUGUUAUUUUAA